RNAcentral lists this ribosomal RNA (622 nucleotides) under uncultured marine bacterium. RNAcentral describes it as "bacterial SSU rRNA". It matches the Rfam family "Bacterial small subunit ribosomal RNA", at positions 879 to 1501 of the family's 1533-position model. The record is from RNAcentral.
AGUACGGUCGCAAGAUUAAAACUCAAAGGAAUUGACGGGGACCCGCACAAGCGGUGGAGCAUGUGGUUUAAUUCGAUGCAACGCGAAGAACCUUACCUGGUCUUGACAUCCUGCGAACUUUCUAGAAAUAGAUUGGUGCCUUCGGGAACGCAGUGACAGGUGCUGCAUGGCUGUCGUCAGCUCGUGUCGUGAGAUGUUGGGUUAAGUCCCGUAACGAGCGCAACCCCUAUCCUUAUUUGCCAGCACAUCAUGGUGGGAACUAUAAGGAGACUGCCGGUGAUAAACCGGAGGAAGGCGGGGACGACGUCAAGUCAUCAUGGCCCUUACGACCAGGGCUACACACGUGCUACAAUGGGAAGGACAAAGAGCCGCGAAGCCGCGAGGUGUAGCUAAUCUCAUAAACCUUUUCGUAGUCCGGAUUGGAGUCUGCAACUCGACUCCAUGAAGUCGGAAUCGCUAGUAAUCGUAGAUCAGAAUGCUACGGUGAAUACGUUCCCGGGUCUUGUACACACCGCCCGUCAUACCAUGGGAGUGGGUUGCACCAGAAGUGGCUAGUCUAACUUAGUGAGGACGGUCACCACGGUGUGAUUCAUGACUGGGGUAAAGUCGUAACAAGGUAACC